GCCCAGGUGCUGAAACUGGUAGACAGGCAUGGUUGAGGGCCAUGUGUUUUUUAAACGUGCGGGUUCGAUUCCCGCUCUGGGCA
Molecule: transfer RNA, 83 nt
Filed under: Flavobacteriales bacterium
Lineage: Bacteria; Pseudomonadati; Bacteroidota; Flavobacteriia; Flavobacteriales
Description: tRNA-Leu
Rfam family: tRNA
About the family: Transfer RNA (tRNA) molecules are approximately 80 nucleotides in length.
Source: RNAcentral